Molecule: long non-coding RNA, 1806 nt
Filed under: Capra hircus (goat)
Lineage: Eukaryota; Metazoa; Chordata; Mammalia; Artiodactyla; Bovidae
Description: lncRNA (ENSCHIG00010025256.1)
Source: RNAcentral
AUAUGUUUUUGAAGCAAAAUGAAUAAAACAUGGUGCUUUCCAAUAGAAAAUACUAACACUGAAGGUCACAUUCUAAUGUUUGGGGGUUUUCCACACAGAAAUCUGGUAGAAGGAAAGUUUUAAUUGAGGUUUGAUUAAGAUCUCUUCGUGGGUCAGGGAUUUUAAUUUUUGGUACAAAUGAAGUAUACAGUUGCUUACUUUUGACAAUUAAAAAGUAGGCUACUGAGAGGCUAAGAUGGAAUGACUAAAGUAUUUGUUGGCCCAUGAACUCCCAGUGAGGACUGGGUGGACUGGGCGAGCAUGUGGCUGUCAUCUGCUCCUACNNNNNNNNNNNNNNNNNNNNNACCCCCGACUCAGAUGAAGGAGAAUGAAUAGUGCGGACAGGCAGUCUCACACCGAGUGAUUCUGAUAAACACACCAAAGUCUAGAAACCACUGAUUUACAGGAGAGCAUGAUCAUCUAACAUGUAGCUUGACAGAACAUUUGCACGUUACCAAUACUUAGCCCGACAGAGAACAUGACAUCUCCUUUGGGCCGUUAGAAUGCCUAUUUCCUGCUAGUUCAGGGAAACACCCAGGAUUCAUUGAUACAUAAUUCAAGUGUCCUCAGAUGAAAGUCCACAGAAAAAUCAGUCCCUUGGUGGAUCAGCAGAUGGGUGGUCCAGGGCUGGUAUAAAAUAUAAAUUACACAAAACUGUGAGCUAUGUCAUUUAGUCAACUGCUGUUAAGAACCUACACUAAAAGAGAACCCAAACCACAUACUUCAAAAUAUACCAUAUUUAUUCAAAUGCAAUCUUUUAUUCACUUUGGCCUCUUCUGUUUCUUUUCUGGGAUGGAAAUGAGGAGAAGUAGGAUGAAGUCAUUUAAGGCCCUGUACUGCACUAAAAUAAUCUAUGGGCUUUUUGCUUUUGCAGGUGGCUCAAUCUCUGGGCGGGAAGAUCCCCUGGAGGAAGAAAUGGCAACCCACCCUUGUAUUCUUGCCUGGAGAAUCCCAUGGACAGAGGACCCUAGCAGGCUGCAGUCCAUGGGGUCGCAAAGAGUUGGACGUGACUGAGCGACAAACACUUUCACUUUGCCUUUGCAAGUUGGAAACCACUGGGAUGACUUGAAAUAUCCGUCCCUGUCAGGUCAGACAUAAAAUAUCCUAGAGCAUCGACAAGGCGGCCAACACAGAUUACAUCUUAGCCAUCGCACUGAAAUCUANNNNNNNNNNNNNNNNNNNNNNNNNNNNNNNNNNNNNNNNNNNNNNNNNNNGAAAUCUAAGCGAUUCAGAGCAUCUCAGAGGCAAAGGGAAAAUGUGAGGAACAACCUCUCUGUAUGGGUCCUGAAAGGUGGUGAUUGCAUAGCAGCUACAGAAAAUCACUGUGAAACCAGAGAAAUGCUGGAAAUUGAGACAAAAAUUAUCCUAAAUUUUGAAAGCAGACAGAACAGAGUUCUCUCUGAUCACUGGAAAAACUUGAGAUUCUUCAACAGAUGACUCAGGAAUAUAGGAAACUGUGAUGUCCAGAAGGCGGCCCAGGUUUCCUGAGGCGCAAGUGAUACCAAACUAACCUAUGCUCUUUUGUAAUUUGAAUAUUUAAAAUCUGUGGAUUUGACAUGUUUAAAUGCCAGUCACUGAGGACAAAGCCUGCUGUCUCCCAUGAACAUUCUGUGAAUCAAUUUUAGUCAGACUCUAUUCUUACAUCUUCAAUAUUAUUCAUUCACUCAGUCAGCAUCGUGGUCACCAAGACAGCGCCAACUGGAGUCACGGACUGGUUUCCCAGAGCCUGUUACCUCUGUUUCCUUCCAAGCUGACACCCAGCACUUC